UACGUAGGGGGCGAGCGUUGUCCGGAUUUAUUGGGCGUAAAGAGCGUGUAGGCGGCUAGAUAGGUCCGUUGUGAAAACUCGAGGCUCAACCUCGAGACGUCGAUGGAAACCAUCUAGCUAGAGUCCGGAAGAGGAGAGUGGAAUUCCUGGUGUAGCGGUGAAAUGCGCAGAUAUCAGGAAGAACACCCGUGGCGAAGGCGGCUCUCUGGUACGUGACUGACGCUGAGACGCGAAAGCGUGGGGAGCAAACAGG
Molecule: ribosomal RNA, 253 nt
Filed under: uncultured bacterium
Lineage: Bacteria
Description: partial 16S ribosomal RNA
Rfam family: Bacterial small subunit ribosomal RNA
Source: RNAcentral